This 738-nucleotide ribosomal RNA is filed under the name uncultured eukaryote. RNAcentral describes it as "SSU rRNA". It matches the Rfam family "Eukaryotic small subunit ribosomal RNA", at positions 667 to 1426 of the family's 1831-position model. The record is from RNAcentral.
GGCGUGUGUGCCGUGUCGUGUUUGUCAUCCUUCCAGAGAGCUGCGUCUACCAUUCACUUGGCCGGACGUACGCGAUCUGGAUCGAUUACUUUGAAAAAAUUAGAGUGUUUAAAGCAGGCUUACGCUGUGAAUACAUUAGCAUGGAAUAAUAAUUUAGGACUUCGGUUCUAUUUUGUUGGUUUCUAGGACUGAAGUAAUGAUUGAUAGGGACAGUUGGGGGUGCUAGUAUUCCGCGGCCAGAGGUGAAAUUCUUGGAUUCGCGGAAGACUAACUACUGCGAAAGCAUUCACCAAGGAUGUCUUCUUUAAUCAAGAACGAAAGUUGGGGGAUCGAAGACGAUCAGAUACCGUCGUAGUCUCAACCAUAAACUAUACCGACUAAGGAUCAGUGAACGUUGAUUUACGACUUCAUUGGCACUUUGUGAGAAAUCAAAGUCUUUGGGUUCCGGGGGGAGUAUGGUCGCAAGGCUGAAACUUAAAGGAAUUGACGGAAGGGCACCACCAGGAGUGGAGCCUGCGGCUUAAUUUGACCCAACACGGGAAAACUUACCAGGUCCAGACAUAGUGAGGAUUGACAGAUUGAAGAUCUUUCUUGAUUCUAUGGGUGGUGGUGCAUGGGCCGUUCUUAGUUGGUGGAGUGAUUUGUCUGGUUAAUUCCGUUAACGAACGAGACCUCGACCUGCUAAAUAGUACCAGUUAUUCAUUGGAUAAUCUGGGCACUUCUUAGAGGGACUAUCGG